RNAcentral lists this ribosomal RNA (490 nucleotides) under uncultured bacterium. Its description in RNAcentral is "partial 16S ribosomal RNA". It matches the Rfam family "Bacterial small subunit ribosomal RNA", at positions 30 to 507 of the family's 1533-position model. The record is from RNAcentral.
AUUGAACGCUGGCGGCAGGCCUAACACAUGCAAGUCGAACGGUAACAGGAAGAAGCUUGCUUCUUUGCUGACGAGUGGCGGACGGGUGAGUAAUGUCUGGGAAACUGCCUGAUGGAGGGGGAUAACUACUGGAAACGGUAGCUAAUACCGCAUAACGUCGCAAGACCAAAGAGGGGGACCUUCGGGCCUCUUGCCAUCGGAUGUGCCCAGAUGGGAUUAGCUAGUAGGUGGGGUAACGGCUCACCUAGGCGACGAUCCCUAGCUGGUCUGAGAGGAUGACCAGCCACACUGGAACUGAGACACGGUCCAGACUCCUACGGGAGGCGGCAGUAGGGAAUCUUCCGCAAUGGGCGAAAGCCUGACGGAGCAACGCCGCGUGAGUGAUGAAGGUCUUCGGAUCGUAAAACUCUGUUAUUAGGGAAGAACAAAUGUGUAAGUAACUAUGCACGUCUUGACGGUACCUAAUCAGAAAGCCACGGCUAACUACGUG